Molecule: long non-coding RNA, 793 nt
Filed under: Androctonus crassicauda
Lineage: Eukaryota; Metazoa; Arthropoda; Arachnida; Scorpiones; Buthidae
Source: RNAcentral
UUUAUAUAUAUAUAAAUCAGAUAAAAAAAUCAAAAUAAAGUUUAAUUAAUAAGAACCGGUUAUCUAUUAAACUCUCAAAGAUCGAUUUGAGAUGUAUAAGUGAGAAAGAAAUUAGACAUAACUGAAGAGUAGAAUUCUUGAACCACUUUACGUCUCAAAGGUCACUUUGCGCUGCGCUGAACUUAAUCUAAUUUCUUUAAUAGAUAUCUUUUCAGACAUCUCUCAUUUUUAUCUUUGGCUAUUUUUUCUAAUGAAAAAAUUUCGUAAAGUGGUUAAAAAAAAUUGCAAUAGUUAGCUUGUCGUUAAAGAUAUCAAAUUUUACGAUAUGGAUCGGUUUUUACAUCGAUUAUAAAUUUAACUCUGUGUGUGUUUUCGCUUAUUAUCGAUCGGAAGACAUAUCGCGAUUCGAGAAAAAAGUGCGGAAGUUCAACAGUUCUUGUUCCUUUUUCCUUUAAAAUUAUUCCUAUUUAUAAGUCAGUCGAGCGACAUAGAAAUGUUUGCUUUCUUUAUAGUUGUUUGUGUUUUUACAACGAUAUUUUUUCUUGGAUCCAUUGGAAAAACGUCAUUACGACUGUUGUAUCAAUGCUGGAUCACGUCUAACCAAAUGAACUUUAUCUUGAUUUCACUGUUCCACUUUUGUCUUUUUUUAUCAACAUAUGCGUUAGAUGAAGUUGAUAAAAAAAGGGAAAAUUUUGCACGUCAUAUUUUUAUUUAAAUUUUUUUUGAUACUAUAGGAUAUUGAAAAGUCCUGCACCAUAGACCAAAUCAUAUUAUUUAUUUCAAUAUGUCUGCC